This 553-nucleotide long non-coding RNA is filed under the name Salmo salar (Atlantic salmon). RNAcentral describes it as "lncRNA (ENSSSAG00000088213.1)". Lineage: Eukaryota; Metazoa; Chordata; Actinopteri; Salmoniformes; Salmonidae. The record is from RNAcentral.
GGAGAGUGGGAGCACUAGGCGAUGAUACCUACAUAAGGACGUCAUAACACACGGCGGGCGAUGACCAAUCAUAUCGAGUGGUUUCCAUGACGAAUUUGACGCUAUGCGACGCAAGGCUGGAGACUUUCUUCAAGCAAAGAUGGCUGACAAAAAUGCUACGAUGGAAGCAAAUGGACUCCUGAAACAACCAGCAAACCAGACUGUCUUGUGAAACAGUGGAUGUAAAGAAUCUAGCUAGCUAAAGCAUUUACUGCAAAUUGAAUGUACACUUUUGUAAGCUUGCCUUGCAGAUAUUUGCCAUGCAAUGCAGAUAAUUGAAAUAACGUAGCUAGCUAUGUUCUUGCUUAUUGUGCAGUGGAUGAUAAAACAUACCUGUAUGCCAAUGGAUGUGUAGCUAGCUAUGUAGCCGAUCUGUGUAUGGACCCAAACGUUUGCUAUACAUAUUAGUUCAGAACCUAUGAACCUCAGCUAUCAUAGCCAGGUGUAUCAACUUCAACACAGCCUGAAUGACAUAAAUGAAGCCUAUCGAUUGAGUAGAAUAUAAUAUAACUUU